Molecule: unclassified non-coding RNA, 478 nt
Filed under: Zea mays
Lineage: Eukaryota; Viridiplantae; Streptophyta; Magnoliopsida; Poales; Poaceae
Description: misc RNA Zm00001eb061420
Source: RNAcentral
GAGCAGGUCGGCCGCGCGCGCUAUCCUUUCUGGAACUUGGACUUGAGGAGCUUGAUGGUGUCGGCGUCCACCUGGAAGCUCUUGGCCAGGACGUCGUCAGGGAUCUCCGGGUCGGCCCCGAACAGGGUCUGCGCGGCGAGCACGACGCCGGGCAGCUGGCUGUUGAAGACGGUCAUGGCGCGCGCGGCGCCUUUGCCGACGUUGUACUGGAAGUGGACCAUCCCGCGCGGGAUGACGAAGCUCUCCCCGGCGCGCACCACCUUGGAGUAGAACCUGCCCUCCGUGCUGACGAAGCCGACCAGCAUCUCGCCGGCCUCCACGUGCACCAGCUCGGCGGACCGCGGGUGGGUGUGCAGCGGGUUGACGCCGCCGGGGGCGAGGUCGACGCGGUUGAUGGACAGGCCCAGCGUGUUGAGCCCCGGGAACGCCUCCACGUUGCCCGGCGUCACGCCCGCGCCCAUCGGGUUGUCCGUGCUCG